CGCGCGGUGGCAGAGCAUUGAUGCACUGGCCUGCAAAACCAGAUUACGCGGGUGAAAUUCCCGCCCGCGCGUCCA
This 75-nucleotide transfer RNA is filed under the name Azoarcus sp. RNAcentral describes it as "tRNA-Cys". It matches the Rfam family "tRNA". From Rfam's summary of the family: Transfer RNA (tRNA) molecules are approximately 80 nucleotides in length. Their secondary structure includes four short double-helical elements and three loops (D, anti-codon, and T loops). Further hydrogen bonds mediate the characteristic L-shaped molecular structure. tRNAs have two regions of fundamental functional importance: the anti-codon, which is responsible for specific mRNA codon recognition, and the 3' end, to which the tRNAs corresponding amino acid is attached (by aminoacyl-tRNA synthetases). tRNAs cope with the degeneracy of the genetic code in two manners: having more than one tRNA (with a specific anti-codon) for a particular amino acid; and 'wobble' base-pairing, i.e. permitting non-standard base-pairing at the 3rd anti-codon position. The record is from RNAcentral. Lineage: Bacteria; Pseudomonadati; Pseudomonadota; Betaproteobacteria; Rhodocyclales; Zoogloeaceae.